GGCCCUAUAGCUCAGCGGUAGAGCGUUGGCUUCCAGCAUGCGUGGGAAUAUUCCAAAGGUCAUCCGUUCAAAUCGGGUUGGGGUCA
Molecule: transfer RNA, 86 nt
Filed under: Testicularia cyperi
Lineage: Eukaryota; Fungi; Basidiomycota; Ustilaginomycetes; Ustilaginales; Anthracoideaceae
Rfam family: tRNA
About the family: Transfer RNA (tRNA) molecules are approximately 80 nucleotides in length. Their secondary structure includes four short double-helical elements and three loops (D, anti-codon, and T loops).
Source: Rfam by way of RNAcentral